RNAcentral lists this long non-coding RNA (861 nucleotides) under Pan troglodytes (chimpanzee). Its description in RNAcentral is "long non-coding RNA NONPTRT000989". Lineage: Eukaryota; Metazoa; Chordata; Mammalia; Primates; Hominidae. The record is from RNAcentral.
GGCAGAUCUACCACCUGACUUCUGGAGAAAAGGAGCCAUGCCCAUGCCUUGAAACACACUUGGUUCUACGGUCACUAGGAAAUUGAUAUCUUGGGAGGUGCUCUACGGGAAUGGUCAGGUUGGAGAGGGAGACUGACUGCCAAGAAGACAUUAAGAAUGACCGAGUGUGAGAAGCUGCGUAACGUCAGCCUUGGCACAGACAGCUACGCCAUCCGAGGCCAAAGUGUACCUCUAAGGGAGCCCCAGUGGUUGGACCAAGCUACCAGGUGGCCUCAGAGGACAGCGAGGGGGCUGAAGCCUGAGGAAUACCUCUUUCUUCCUGGCUGCCCAGAGCCCUGCCCUCAUGCUCACACCACAUUCCUGCAAGGAGACAUUGCCUUGGUCUGCUAACCUGGACCCUCUCAGAGUUGGAAGGGCCUUUUAGAGUAAGUGACUUGCUGGACUCAGACCAGGGUGGCAGAAGUAGAAUCUGCCUUGGGCACCCCUGGAGUCGUUCCCCCUCUUUGGGCCUCCUUUUGCCCAUCUGCACAAAAAGCAUGUUGGGCAACCCAGAGCUUUGUGACGGCUACUUCCUCCACUGUGGCAAGCCAAGACCUCCAGCUCUGGGUGGCUGGCUUCAGAAUCAGCAUAGCGACGCUGUGAUCUCAUGCUGAUUAAGAGCAAGAGAUAACAGCAUAGGUGGGGCUAUGUGGGCCUGGAGUCAGCCGCAUCAGGGUUUGAAUCCAUUUCUGUCACUAGCUAGCCAUGUGACUUUAGGCAGGUCACAACUUCUCUGAGUCUCAUUUAUAUGAUCUGUAAUAAUACCUCAUAGUGUUAUCCUCAGGAUCCAGUGAGACAAUAUGUGUGCAAAACAAGCGUUAC